This 25-nucleotide non-coding RNA is filed under the name Mus musculus (house mouse). The record is from RNAcentral. Lineage: Eukaryota; Metazoa; Chordata; Mammalia; Rodentia; Muridae.
UUUGGACAUACGCUGGGGUGGCUUU